Molecule: ribosomal RNA, 507 nt
Filed under: uncultured bacterium
Lineage: Bacteria
Description: bacterial SSU rRNA
Rfam family: Bacterial small subunit ribosomal RNA
Source: RNAcentral
GUGCCAGCCGCCGCGGUAAUACGUAGGUCCCAAGCGUUGUCCGGAUUUAUUGGGCGUAAAGCGAGCGCAGGUGGUUUCUUAAGUCUGAUGUAAAAGGCAGUGGCUCAACCAUUGUGUGCAUUGGAAACUGGGAGACUUGAGUGCAGGAGAGGAGAGUGGAAUUCCAUGUGUAGCGGUGAAAUGCGUAGAUAUAUGGAGGAACACCGGAGGCGAAAGCGGCUCUCUGGCCUGUAACUGACACUGAGGCUCGAAAGCGUGGGGAGCAAACAGGAUUAGAUAACCCUGGUAGUCCACGCCGUAAACGAUGAGUGCUAGCUGUAGGGAGCUAUAAGUUCUCUGUAGCGCAGCUAACGCAUUAAGCACUCCGCCUGGGGAGUACGACCGCAAGGUUGAAACUCAAAGGAAUUGACGGGGCCGCACAAGCGGUGGAGCAGUGUGGUUAAUUCGAAGCAACGCGAAGAACCUUACCAGGUCUUGACAUACUCGUGCUAUCCUUAGAGAUAGGAG